RNAcentral lists this unclassified non-coding RNA (218 nucleotides) under Glomus sp. RNAcentral describes it as "partial contains 5.8S ribosomal RNA and internal transcribed spacer 2". The stretch from base 1 to 65 matches the Rfam family "5.8S ribosomal RNA", at positions 84 to 154 of the family's 154-position model. The record is from RNAcentral. Lineage: Eukaryota; Fungi; Glomeromycota; Glomeromycetes; Glomerales; Glomeraceae.
GUGAAUCAUCGAAUUUUUGAACGCAAAUUGCACCCUCCUCGGAGAGUAUGCCUGUUUGAGGGUCAGCCUAUAAAAAAUCGACAUCGUCGCUGUUUCGCCGUUACGAUCGUCGGGAAUUGGGUCAACUUAAAUCCUUUUGGUUUUAAGCGACUUAAAAUUUUCUUUAUGGUUCCAUCGGCGUUUCCAAGGUUUAUCUUUUUACACGCGUAAGGGUAUCG